Molecule: long non-coding RNA, 2531 nt
Organism: Talpa occidentalis (Iberian mole)
Lineage: Eukaryota; Metazoa; Chordata; Mammalia; Eulipotyphla; Talpidae
Exons: 6
Source: RefSeq, a predicted model, not a curated record
AGAAGCGCAGGAGGGUGAGAGAAUUCACCAGAGCCAGAGCGGGGAGCAGAGCAGGCAGAAGGACUGAAGUACACUGCUGAGGGGAGCAGCGGGUGGCAGGAGAGAUCUGCUCGCCAUGUGGGACCCUCCUCAGGUGGCUGGGGAGCAGCCGGGGAUCGAACCGGUGCUGCAGAGGCUGCGGGCAGCUUAGCAACCCAGCGCUCAACCGCUGCGCCACCCGGGAGGCCCUAAAAGCGGUUGACUAUACUCCGCCAGCUGGCUAAUAUCAUAAUUAACGAAGUUGCUACUACAUCUGCAAAGUUUAAUCGAAAAAUUUGCCAGUGAUGUGAUAGCAUUGUCACCAAGAUCAUAAGGGACACGGAUUCGACUUUUACUCAAGGUGGAACGGCAGUGCUGUGUAGGCAAGAUGAGAAAUCCUGAACUAGUUCAACCAAAGAUUUUAUCCACCUACUGUACAGAAGAUGAAGAUAAAUAAACCACCUUGCAAGUUUAAUCACAUCAACUGGCUAAUUUAAUGAAAUCAAAUAGCAGAAAGGUUAUGCUUCAUAUCACCCACCAGGGAGGAUCAUCUCUCAUGAAAACUUUCAAAUUUGAUUUUGAAAAUUAUUCAGAAAAAUUUAAGUCUUGCUAUCUCCCAAUGUAGAAAAGAAUAUGCUCUGGAGAUUCCUGUAAUUCAAAGAAAAUGGACUGAGAUAACAACAUUUGGGUUGUCAUGCUAUCAAAAUCCUCUUGAGAAGGAUGGCCAGGAGGCUAAUAAUGAAGGGCCGGGAAGGAGGCCAGUGCUACCAGGGUUAUCUCAAAGCCUCAGAUGCUGGAUAAGUCGAAGGAGGCAGAAUCGCUUUGGGAUGACAUUCAGAAAGGCUGGAGUGAUUAUUUGAAAGAGAAAAGCCUCCUUAUUCUUUUCCAAGGUGUGUGAAUAUGCCCCGGCCUGUCCCUCCACUGAUGAAUUAUUAGCAACCUGCCUUAGACAAAGGCUGCACUCGGAGCCCCACCACACCUAAAACCAGGCUUUGAAGGAUCUGCCAAGCUCACUUUUAAUCAUGGAAAGAAAUUACCCACAUGGAGUCAGCAGAAAAUGAGAAAGUGGAGCUCGUGCUGCGAAUAAUUCCAGCAAGUGCCAAGGGGCUAGUUGAGGAAUGACUUCAUGAGGUGAAUAUCUUUAGCUUGUACUUAGGGUUUGGUUAGCGUAUAAUCAUUUUCUCUUUUAGGGGCGAUGACUAUCACCAGUGGAUUUUGUAAGGAAAGAGUGCUCCGAGCAUUUGUCAGGCUGUUGACAGAUUUAAUAUCACUCUCGUCCUUGUUGUUAUUUACUAUGACUAAUUUUACAUUUGCAAAUAUGCAAAACUCCAUUUAGGCGGAAAGCCUCUCCGAGCCAGUGACUCUUAAGCGCUGUAUGUAUUUAUGUGCAUCGCUGCUGUGAGUGCAUGUCCGGUUAUUUCUGUCUCUGUGUACGUAUGUGCCCUCGUUCUUGUCUUCUCUCUGUCGUGCACGUAGGUUGGGAGGCUGGACCAACCAAUGGGUUCUCAGAUGUGGUCCAAGGCUUUCAUUUGAUUUUUGGACCAGGAAAAAAGGAACGUGUCACAUCAUGAUUAAUGGUCAAUCUGAAUUUCCAAUUCAUAUGAAAGGAGAAGCAGGAGGAGGCAAUAACCCGGUGAUGAGACUAACCUUUUCCCUUUGGGGAGAGCAUGAUUCAAAUUAAACAUCACUUUCAGUGUGAAAUUAGUUUGAAGGCCUUUUUUUUUUUUUCCUUGGUUCCUGGUUUAACUCCUUGAUGGCUGCCCUUUCAGAGAGGACCUCUGUGCCUGAGUCUAUUCCAGACAGCCCAAGAGCCAGCGUCCCUUUUUUUUUUUUUGCAUUUUUCUAAAGAUCAGGUCCUCAAAACCAAGAAAAGGGAAUAUUGUACCUCUUUCGAAGCUUCGUGAUUCACAAGAUCACAUUCUCCUUAGUUUGUGCACCUAACGAGUGUCUCAAAUAAAUAAUAUCUUCUUUAAGGAUAAUUUUGCCAGGGAGGGGGGAGAGGAGAGCGAGGUAUUCUUUCAAAGGACAUUCUGAGUGCUUGUGCUUUGUGUCACUUUCUGCUGAUUGAGGGAGCGCCAGAGGAAGAAAAGCAACAAAACAAAUCCCAAGUUUUCUUUUGAUUCUCUAGGUUUCUCUAUGUGACUCAUCUAUAGGUCACAGGAUCCCCAUGCCAACAUGCAGAAACAUUGCUGUCAGGCAAACUCAUGCCUGGACACUUUGAAACUGCCCUCAGCACUUACUGGCUAAAGGACUCAGGCCCAAAUUUGUAGAAAGAGCCCCUACUCGUGAAACACUAGCUGCUUGUCCAUGCGCAUAUCCUGGAUGCCAUAGUUAGAACACAUCACGAUUUCACCAUGAGGUUGAGCUGACUUUUGAAGUUUGAUGGCGCAUAUUGCAAGGCACAUAUUGAAAAACUGAAGGGACGUGUUUAUUCUUCCAGUGUGUUUUCAAAAGGAAAAUGCUAGAGCACUUUAAUUCCUUCCUGAAAGGAUGGAGAGGUGUGGUGGAGGAGG